UACGAAGGGGGCUAGCGUUGCUCGGAAUUACUGGGCGUAAAGGGCGCGUAGGCAGAUAGUUUAGUCAGAGGUGAAAGCCCAGGGCUCAACCUUGGAAUUGCCUUUGAUACUGGCUAUCUUGAGUUCGGGAGAGGUGAGUGGAAUGCCGAGUGUAGAGGUGAAAUUCGUAGAUAUUCGGCGGAACACCAGUGGCGAAGGCGACUCACUGGCCCGAUACUGACGCUGAGGCGCGAAAGCGUGGGGAGCAAACAGG
This 253-nucleotide ribosomal RNA is filed under the name uncultured bacterium. RNAcentral's name for it is "partial 16S ribosomal RNA". It matches the Rfam family "Bacterial small subunit ribosomal RNA", at positions 524 to 776 of the family's 1533-position model. The record is from RNAcentral.